GGCAUUCAAAAACUUGUUGAACAGUGGGAGAAAGUGAUGAAUACUAGGGCACUUAGAGAGGCCCAAAAAAUGUGUACACAUUUUUGUUCUUCAAUAACUUUGAGACAAAUUGAUAUAAAGUUCUCAUUUUUGGAAAAAUUGUAAGUUAAUGUUAUUAGUUGACAAUAGUGUGCAUGUGGCAUGUUAAAACACUCAUGUUCCAUCUAGCAGCCAAUUUGUGUCAUGAGCAUAUGCUUGCAGACAAUGGUGGAAGCAAGGUUGUCGCUGGAACAACAGAAGGUGAUUUUGAAGUAUUGUAAGUUUUAAAACAAUAGCAAAGUACAGUGACAAUGGCAGAACAUGUAUCAAACAAUGCCACCAACACAUGUAACAAUUGUGCAUAUUCAAAACAAAUUUGAAACUGAUGAUAUUGUUAAUGAUGUGCAUAAAGGACAUUCUAGGCAACCUGUAACAGCAGCAACUGCAGCUACCUUCACAACAGUGUUACAACAUUUUACAUCUUCACCACAGAAGUCUGUGAAACUGGGGUCAAUUGAACAAGUAUACAGCAAAUUUUGAAGACUGCAAAGUGGAAGGUGAUCAGGGUC
Molecule: long non-coding RNA, 587 nt
Filed under: Androctonus crassicauda
Lineage: Eukaryota; Metazoa; Arthropoda; Arachnida; Scorpiones; Buthidae
Source: RNAcentral